Molecule: ribosomal RNA, 1249 nt
Filed under: metagenome
Description: bacterial LSU rRNA
Rfam family: Bacterial large subunit ribosomal RNA
Source: RNAcentral
UAUACGACCGUACCGCAAACCGACACUGGUGCGCGAGAUGAGUAUUCUAAGGCGCUUGAGAGAACUCAGGAGAAGGAACUCGGCAAAUUGACACCGUAACUUCGGAAGAAGGUGUGCCCUAUUAGUGUGUAGUGAACAACGAAGCAUGAAUGGGUUGCAAAAAAUCGGUGGCUGCGACUGUUUAUUAAAAACACAGCACUCUGCAAACACGAAAGUGGACGUAUAGGGUGUGACGCCUGCCCGGUGCUGGAAGAUUAAGUGAUGGGGUGCAAGCUCUUGAUUGAAGUCCCAGUAAACGGCGGCCGUAACUAUAACGGUCCUAAGGUAGCGAAAUUCCUUGUCGGGUAAGUUCCGACCUGCACGAAUGGCGUAACGAUGGCCACACUGUCUCCUCCUGAGACUCAGCGAAGUUGAAAUGUUUGUGAUGAUGCAAUCUCCCCGCGGAAAGACGGAAAGACCCCAUGAACCUUUACUGUAGCUUUGUAUUGGACUUUGAACAGAUCUGUGUAGGAUAGGUGGGAGGCUUUGAAGCAGGGUCGCUAGAUCUUGUGGAGCCAACGUUGAAAUACCACCCUGGUGUGUUUGAGGUUCUAACCUAGGUCCAUUAUCUGGAUCGGGGACAGUGCAUGGUAGGCAGUUUGACUGGGGCGGUCUCCUCCCAAAGCGUAACGGAGGAGUUCGAAGGUACGCUAGUUACGGUCGGACAUCGUGACGAUAGUGCAAUGGCAUAAGCGUGCUUAACUGCGAGACUGACAAGUCGAGCAGAUGCGAAAGCAGGACAUAGUGAUCCGGUGGUUCUGUAUGCAAGGGCCAUCGCUCAACGGAUAAAAGGUACUCUGGGGAUAACAGGCUGAUACCGCCCAAGAGUUCGUAUCGACGGCGGUGUUUGGCACCUCGAUGUCGGCUCAUCUCAUCCUGGGGCUGUAGCCGGUCCCAAGGGUAUGGCUGUUCGCCAUUUAAAGAGGUACGUGAGCUGGGUUUAAAACGUCGUGAGACAGUUUGGACCCUAUCUUCCGUGGGCGCUGCAGAUUUGAGGAAGCCUGCUCCUAGUACGAGAGGACCGGAGUGGACGAACCUCUGGUGUAUCGGUUGUCACGCCAGUGGCAUUGCCGAGUAGCUAAGUUCGGAAGAGAUAACCGCUGAAAGCAUCUAAGCGGGAAACUCGUUUCAAGAUUAGAUCUGCCGGGGCCUUGAGCCCCCUAAAGAGUCGUUCAAGACCAGGACGUUGAUAGGUCAGGUGUGGAAGCCA